GACGAACGCUGGCGGCGUGCCUAAUACAUGCAAGUAGGACGCACAGCCUAUACCGUAGCUUGCUACACCAUAGGCUGUGAGUUGCGAACGGGUGAGUAACGCGUAGGUAACCUGCCUAUUAGAGGGGGAUAACUAUUGGAAACGAUAGCUAAUACCGCAUAACAGUAUGUAACACAUGUUAGAUGCUUGAAAGAUGCAAUUGCAUCGCUAGUAGAUGGACCCGCGUUGUAUUAGCUAGUAGGUAGGGUAAUGGCCUACCUAGGCAACGAUACAUAGCCGACCUGAGAGGGUGAUCGGCCACACUGGGACUGAGACACGGCCCAGACUCCUACGGGAGGCAGCAGUAGGGAAUCUUCGGCAAUGGGGGGAACCCUGACCGAGCAACGCCGCAUGAGUGAAGAAGGUUUUCGGAUCGUAAAGCUCUGUUGUUAGGGAAGAACGAGUGUGAGAAAUGGAAAAGUUCAUAACUGUGACGGUACUA
Molecule: ribosomal RNA, 481 nt
Filed under: Streptococcus anginosus
Lineage: Bacteria; Bacillati; Bacillota; Bacilli; Lactobacillales; Streptococcaceae
Description: bacterial SSU rRNA
Rfam family: Bacterial small subunit ribosomal RNA
Source: RNAcentral